This 253-nucleotide ribosomal RNA is filed under the name uncultured bacterium. RNAcentral's name for it is "partial 16S ribosomal RNA". It matches the Rfam family "Bacterial small subunit ribosomal RNA", at positions 524 to 776 of the family's 1533-position model. The record is from RNAcentral.
GACGAACCGUGCGAACGUUAUUCGGAAUCACUGGGCUUAAAGGGCGCGUAGGCGGGCGACCAAGUCAGGGGUGAAAUCGUUCGGCCCAACCGGACAAGGGCCCCUGAUACUGGUUGUCUCGAGGGAGGUAGGGGUCAAUGGAACUUCCGGUGGAGCGGUGAAAUGCGUAGAUAUCGGAAGGAACGCCGGUGGCGAAAGCGAUCGACUGGACCUCUUCUGACGCUGAGGCGCGAAAGCCAGGGGAGCAAACGGG